UACGUAGGUGGCAAGCGUUGUCCGGAUUUACUGGGCGUAAAGGAUGCGUAGGCGGACAUUUAAGUCAGAUGUGAAAUACCCGAGCUUAACUUGGGUGCUGCAUUUGAAACUGGGUGUCUAGAGUGCAGGAGAGGUAAGUGGAAUUCCUAGUGUAGCGGUGGAAUGCGUAGAGAUUAGGAAGAACACCAGUGGCGAAGGCGACUUACUGGACUGUAACUGACGCUGAGGCAUGAAAGCGUGGGGAGCAAACAGG
RNAcentral lists this ribosomal RNA (253 nucleotides) under uncultured bacterium. RNAcentral describes it as "partial 16S ribosomal RNA". It matches the Rfam family "Bacterial small subunit ribosomal RNA", at positions 524 to 776 of the family's 1533-position model. The record is from RNAcentral.